UUUUUGUUUUAAGAACAUUUAUAUAAAUGUUUUUUUACAAAAUUAGAAUUAGGGCUCUUUUUGCAAAUAGCCUCCUGACAAAUUUUUUUUUUAAAUUAGCCUUGUCAAAAAUUUAUUUGCAAAAAUGGUCCUGAUCCUGCCACACAAGCGCCACGUCAGCGUCACACGGGCGGGGCUGGAGCCAGGUGUUUAAGUUGAACACGGUGAACCGUUCACCGUGUUUAAAUACCGUGUUUGAGCACUGACUCAUUUACCGUGUUUGAACACCGGCUCAAUAACCGGCUCAUUCACCGUGUUCAACUUAAACACCUGGCUCCAGCCCCGCUCGCGUGGCGUUGACGUGGCGCUUGUGUGACAAAGCUAGAGCCAUUUUUACAAAUAAAUUUUUAAAAUUUAAAAAAAAAAAUUAUAAAGGGGCUAUUUGCAAAAAC
RNAcentral lists this long non-coding RNA (431 nucleotides) under Ananas comosus (pineapple). RNAcentral describes it as "long non-coding RNA (ACOM_LNC002531)". Lineage: Eukaryota; Viridiplantae; Streptophyta; Magnoliopsida; Poales; Bromeliaceae. The record is from RNAcentral.